GGAAUUUUCCGCAAUGGGCGAAAGCCUGACGGAUCAAUACCGCGUGAGGGAAGACGGCCUUUGGGUUGUAAACCUCUUUUUUCAGGGAGGAAUCACUGACGUGUACCUGAAGAAUAAGCAUCGGCUAACUCCGUGCCGGCAGCCGCGGUAACACGGAAGGGGCAAGCGUUAUUCGGAAUUAUUGGGCGUAAAGAGCACGUAGGUGGCCUAUCAAGUCAGGUGUGAAAUCCUGAGGCUUAACCUUAGAAUUGCACUUGAAACUGAUAGGCUUGAGUCCAUAAGAGGAGAGUGGAAUUCCUAGUGUAGCGGUGAAAUGCGCAGAUAUUAGGAGGAACACCAGUGGCAAAGGGGCUCUCUGGUCUGUGACUGACACUGAGGUGCGAAACUAGGGAACGACAGGAUAGAUACCCCAGUAGUC
Molecule: ribosomal RNA, 418 nt
Filed under: uncultured cyanobacterium
Lineage: Bacteria; Bacillati; Cyanobacteriota
Also listed under: 1 other name
Description: bacterial SSU rRNA
Rfam family: Bacterial small subunit ribosomal RNA
Source: RNAcentral